AGUGAACGCUGGCGGCAGGCCUAACACAUGCAAGUCGAGCGGCAGCGGGUUCUUCGGGAUGCCGGCGAGCGGCGGACGGGUGAGGAAUUCAUCGGAAUCUGCCCUGUCGUUGGGGAUAACCUAGUGAAACUUAGGCUAUUACCCUAUUCGACCUACCGUUGAAAGCGGGGGAUCGCAAGACCUCGCGCCACUGGCCGAUCUGAUGUCGGAUUAGCUAGUUGGCUGGGUAAAGGGCCACCAAGGCGACGAUCCGUAGCUUGUUUGAGAGGAUGAUCAGCCAAACUGGAACUAAGAAACGGCCAAGACUCCUAGGGGAGGCAGAAGUGGGGAAUAUUGGACAAUGGGCGCAAGCCUGAUCAAGCAAUGCCGCGUGGGUGAAGAAGGCCUUCGGGUUGUAAAGCCCUUUUGUAGGGGAAGAAAUCGGCUGGGCUAAUACCCCGGGCGGAUGACGGUACCGAAAGAAUAAGCACCGGCUAACUUCGUG
This 484-nucleotide ribosomal RNA is filed under the name uncultured bacterium. RNAcentral's name for it is "partial 16S ribosomal RNA". It matches the Rfam family "Bacterial small subunit ribosomal RNA", at positions 29 to 507 of the family's 1533-position model. The record is from RNAcentral.